This 1621-nucleotide ribosomal RNA is filed under the name Salmonella enterica subsp. enterica serovar Enteritidis. RNAcentral's name for it is "partial 23S ribosomal RNA". It matches the Rfam family "Bacterial large subunit ribosomal RNA", at positions 1201 to 2803 of the family's 2925-position model. Lineage: Bacteria; Pseudomonadati; Pseudomonadota; Gammaproteobacteria; Enterobacterales; Enterobacteriaceae. The record is from RNAcentral.
UGCGGCAGCGACGCUUAUGCGUUGUUGGGUAGGGGAGCGUUCUGUAAGCCUGCGAAGGUGGCCUGUGAGGGUUGCUGGAGGUAUCAGAAGUGCGAAUGCUGACAUAAGUAACGAUAAAGCGGGUGAAAAGCCCGCUCGCCGGAAGACCAAGGGUUCCUGUCCAACGUUAAUCGGGGCAGGGUGAGUCGACCCCUAAGGCGAGGCCGAAAGGCGUAGUCGAUGGGAAACGGGUUAAUAUUCCCGUACUUGGUGUUACUGCGAAGGGGGGACGGAGAAGGCUAUGUUGGCCGGGCGACGGUUGUCCCGGUUUAAGCGUGUAGGUGUGUGUUCCAGGUAAAUCCGGUUCACUUUAACACUGAGGCGUGACGACGAGGCACUACGGUGCUGAAGCAACAAAUGCCCUGCUUCCAGGAAAAGCCUCUAAGCAUCAGGUAACAUCAAAUCGUACCCCAAACCGACACAGGUGGUCAGGUAGAGAAUACCAAGGCGCUUGAGAGAACUCGGGUGAAGGAACUAGGCAAAAUGGUGCCGUAACUUCGGGAGAAGGCACGCUGACACGUAGGUGAAGUGAUUUACUCAUGGAGCUGAAGUCAGUCGAAGAUACCAGCUGGCUGCAACUGUUUAUUAAAAACACAGCACUGUGCAAACACGAAAGUGGACGUAUACGGUGUGACGCCUGCCCGGUGCCGGAAGGUUAAUUGAUGGGGUCAGCGCAAGCGAAGCUCCUGAUCGAAGCCCCGGUAAACGGCGGCCGUAACUAUAACGGUCCUAAGGUAGCGAAAUUCCUUGUCGGGUAAGUUCCGACCUGCACGAAUGGCGUAAUGAUGGCCAGGCUGUCUCCACCCGAGACUCAGUGAAAUUGAACUCGCUGUGAAGAUGCAGUGUACCCGCGGCAAGACGGAAAGACCCCGUGAACCUUUACUAUAGCUUGACACUGAACAUUGAGCCUUGAUGUGUAGGAUAGGUGGGAGGCUUUGAAGUGUGGACGCCAGUCUGCAUGGAGCCGACCUUGAAAUACCACCCUUUAAUGUUUGAUGUUCUAACGUGGACCCGUUACCCGGGUUGCGGACAGUGUCUGGUGGGUAGUUUGACUGGGGCGGUCUCCUCCUAAAGAGUAACGGAGGAGCACGAAGGUUGGCUAAUCCUGGUCGGACAUCAGGAGGUUAGUGCAAUGGCAUAAGCCAGCUUGACUGCGAGCGUGACGGCGCGAGCAGGUGCGAAAGCAGGUCAUAGUGAUCCGGUGGUUCUGAAUGGAAGGGCCAUCGCUCAACGGAUAAAAGGUACUCCGGGGAUAACAGGCUGAUACCGCCCAAGAGUUCAUAUCGACGGCGGUGUUUGGCACCUCGAUGUCGGCUCAUCACAUCCUGGGGCUGAAGUAGGUCCCAAGGGUAUGGCUGUUCGCCAUUUAAAGUGGUACGCGAGCUGGGUUUAGAACGUCGUGAGACAGUUCGGUCCCUAUCUGCCGUGGGCGCUGGAGAACUGAGGGGGGCUGCUCCUAGUACGAGAGGACCGGAGUGGACGCAUCACUGGUGUUCGGGUUGUCAUGCCAAUGGCACUGCCCGGUAGCUAAAUGCGGAAGAGAUAAGUGCUGAAAGCAUCUAAGCACGAAACUUGCCCCGAG